GGCACUACGGUGCUGAAGCAACAAAUGCCCUGCUUCCAGGAAAAGCCUCUAAGCAUCAGGUAACAUCAAAUCGUACCCCAAACCGACACAGGUGGUCAGGUAGAGAAUACCAAGGCGCUUGAGAGAACUCGGGUGAAGGAACUAGGCAAAAUGGUGCCGUAACUUCGGGAGAAGGCACGCUGAUAUGUAGGUGAAGUCCCUCGCGGAUGGAGCUGAAAUCAGUCGAAGAUACCAGCUGGCUGCAACUGUUUAUUAAAAACACAGCACUGUGCAAACACGAAAGUGGACGUAUACGGUGUGACGCCUGCCCGGUGCCGGAAGGUUAAUUGAUGGGGUCAGCGCAAGCGAAGCUCUUGAUCGAAGCCCCGGUAAACGGCGGCCGUAACUAUAACGGUCCUAAGGUAGCGAAAUUCCUUGUCGGGUAAGUUCCGACCUGCACGAAUGGCGUAAUGAUGGCCAGGCUGUCUCCACCCGAGACUCAGUGAAAUUGAACUCGCUGUGAAGAUGCAGUGUACCCGCGGCAAGACGGAAAGACCCCGUGAACCUUUACUAUAGCUUGACACUGAACAUUGAGCCUUGAUGUGUAGGAUAGGUGGGAGGCUUUGAAGUGUGGACGCCAGUCUGCAUGGAGCCGACCUUGAAAUACCACCCUUUAAUGUUUGAUGUUCUAACGUUGACCCGUAAUCCGGGUUGCGGACAGUGUCUGGUGGGUAGUUUGACUGGGGCGGUCUCCUCCUAAAGAGUAACGGAGGAGCACGAAGGUUGGCUAAUCCUGGUCGGACAUCAGGAGGUUAGUGCAAUGGCAUAAGCCAGCUUGACUGCGAGCGUGACGGCGCGAGCAGGUGCGAAAGCAGGUCAUAGUGAUCCGGUGGUUCUGAAUGGAAGGGCCAUCGCUCAACGGAUAAAAGGUACUCCGGGGAUAACAGGCUGAUACCGCCCAAGAGUUCAUAUCGACGGCGGUGUUUGGCACCUCGAUGUCGGCUCAUCACAUCCUGGGGCUGAAGUAGGUCCCAAGGGUAUGGCUGUUCGCCAUUUAAAGUGGUACGCGAGCUGGGUUUAGAACGUCGUGAGACAGUUCGGUCCCUAUCUGCCGUGGGCGCUGGAGAACUGAGGGGGGCUGCUCCUAGUACGAGAGGACCGGAGUGGACGCAUCACUGGUGUUCGGGUUGUCAUGCCAAUGGCACUGCCCGGUAGCUAAAUGCGGAAGAGAUAAGUGCUGAAAGCAUCUAAGCACGAAACUUGCCCCGAGAUGAGUUCUCCCUGACUCCUUGAGAGUCCUGAAGGAACGUUGAAGACGACGACGUUGAUAGGCCGGGUGUGUAAGCGCAGCGAUGCGUUGAGCUAACCGGUACUAAUGAACCGUGAGG
Molecule: ribosomal RNA, 1367 nt
Filed under: Escherichia coli
Lineage: Bacteria; Pseudomonadati; Pseudomonadota; Gammaproteobacteria; Enterobacterales; Enterobacteriaceae
Description: bacterial LSU rRNA
Rfam family: Bacterial large subunit ribosomal RNA
Source: RNAcentral